AGAGUUUGAUCCUGGCUCAGGACGAACGCUGGCGGCGCGCCUAACACAUGCAAGUCGAACGAGAGAGAGGGAGCUUGCUUCCUCAAUCGAGUGGCGAACGGGUGAGUAACGCGUGAGGAACCUGCCUCAAAGAGGGGGACAACAGUUGGAAACGACUGCUAAUACCGCAUAAGCCCACAGCUCGGCAUCGAGCAGAGGGAAAAGGAGCAAUCCGCCUUGAGAUGGCCUCGCGUCCGAUUAGCUAGUUGGUGAGGUAAUGGCCCACCAAGGCGACGAUCGGUAGCCGGACUGAGAGGUUGAACGGCCACAUUGGGACUGAGACACGGCCCAGACUCCUACGGGAGGCAGCAGUGGGGAAUAUUGCACAAUGGGGGAAACCCUGAUGCAGCGACGCCGCGUGGAGGAAGAAGGUCUUCGGAUUGUAAACUCCUGUUGUUGAGGAAGAUAAUGACGGUACUCAACAAGGAAGUGACGGCUAACUACGUGCCAGCAGCCGCGGUAAAACGUAGGUCACAAGCGUUGUCCGGAAUUACUGGGUGUAAAGGGAGCGCAGGCGGGAAGACAAGUUGGAAGUGAAAUCUAUGGGCUCAACCCAUAAACUGCUUUCAAAACUGUUUUUCUUGAGUAGUGCAGAGGUAGGCGGAAUUCCCGGUGUAGCGGUGGAAUGCGUAGAUAUCGGGAGGAACACCAGUGGCGAAGGCGGCCUACUGGGCACCAACUGACGCUGAGGCUCGAAAGUGUGGGUAGCAAACAGGAUUAGAUACCCCUAGUCCACACCGUAAACGAUGAUUACUAGGUGUUGGAGGAUUGACCCCUUCAGUGCCGCAGUUAACACAAUAAGUAAUCCACCUGGGGAGUACGACCGCAAGGUUGAAACUCAAAGGAAUUGACGGGGGCCCGCACAAGCAGUGGAGUAUGUGGUUUAAUUCGACGCAACGCGAAGAACCUUACCAAGUCUUGACAUCCUGCGACGAUGCUGGAAACAGUAUUUUCCUUCGGGACGCAGAGACAGGUGGUGCAUGGUUGUCGUCAGCUCGUGUCGUGAGAUGUUGGGUUAAGUCCCGCAACGAGCGCAACCCUUACUGUCUGUUACUACGCAGGACUCUGGCAGGACUGCCGUUGACAAAACGGAGGAAGGUGGGGAUGACGUCAAAUCAUCAUGCCCUUUAUGACUUGGGCUACACACGUACUACAAUGGCGUUAAACAAAGAGAAGCAAGACCGCGAGGUGGAGCAAAACUCAGAAACAACGUCCCAGUUCGGACUGCAGGCUGCAACUCGCCUGCACGAAGUCGGAAUUGCUAGUAAUCGUGGAUCAGCAUGCCACGGUGAAUACGUUCCCGGGCCUUGUACACACCGCCCGUC
RNAcentral lists this ribosomal RNA (1364 nucleotides) under metagenome. Its description in RNAcentral is "bacterial SSU rRNA". It matches the Rfam family "Bacterial small subunit ribosomal RNA". The record is from RNAcentral.